This 253-nucleotide ribosomal RNA is filed under the name uncultured prokaryote. RNAcentral describes it as "partial 16S ribosomal RNA". It matches the Rfam family "Bacterial small subunit ribosomal RNA", at positions 524 to 776 of the family's 1533-position model. The record is from RNAcentral.
UACGUAGGGUGCGAGCGUUAAUCGGAAUUACUGGGCGUAAAGCGUGCGCAGGCGGUUCGCCAAGUCAGGUGUGAAAUCCCCGGGCUUAACCUGGGAAUUGCGCUUGAAACUAGCGGGCUUGAGUGUGGCAGAGGGGGGUGGAAUUCCACGUGUAGCAGUGAAAUGCGUAGAUAUCAGGAGGAACGCCGGAGGCGAAAGCGAGUGACUGGCGCGUUCCUGACGCUGAGGUGCGAAAGCUAGGGGAGCAAACAGG